RNAcentral lists this ribosomal RNA (608 nucleotides) under uncultured bacterium. RNAcentral's name for it is "bacterial SSU rRNA". It matches the Rfam family "Bacterial small subunit ribosomal RNA", at positions 273 to 872 of the family's 1533-position model. The record is from RNAcentral.
GCGACGAUCGGUAGCCGGCCUGAGAGGGCGGACGGCCACACUGGGACUGAGACACGGCCCAGACUCCUACGGGAGGCAGCAGUAGGGAAUUGUUCGCAAUGGGCGCAAGCCUGACGACGCAACGCCGCGUGGAGGAUGAAGACCCUCGGGUCGUAAACUCCUUUCGACCGAGAUGAACAUCCAUGGGGCUAAUACCCCCGUGGACUGACAGUAUCGGGAGAAGAAGCCCCGGCUAACUCCGUGCCAGCAGCCGCGGUAAUACGGGGGGGGCAAGCGUUGUUCGGAAUUACUGGGCGUAAAGGGUCCGUAGGCGGCCAACUAAGUCAGACGUGAAAUCCCCCGGCUUAACCGGGGAACUGCGUCUGAUACUGGUUGGCUUGAGUGCAGGAGAGGAACGCGGAAUUCCAGGUGUAGCGGUGAAAUGCGUAGAUAUCUGGAGGAACACCGGUGGCGAAGGCGGCGUUCUGGACUGUAACUGACGCUGAGGGACGAAAGCCAGGGGAGCAAACGGGAUUAGAUACCCCGGUAGUCCUGGCCCUAAACGAUGAAUGCUUGGUGUGGCGGGUAUCGAUCCCUGCCGUGCCGUAGUUAACGCGUUAAGCAUCCGC